UAGGGUUACCCAUAGGUGAUUAGUGUUUUAGCUUAUGUCCCCAUAUGGUUGUUAGUAUGGUAGUUACUGAUUGUUACUAUUGCAUGCGACUGUAUUUAUGUUGCUUAUGUUUUCAUAAUUAUUUACGUUACUUCUGCGGGAUUACUUAUGCUUUAUUAUUUUGUUUUAUCUUGCGUGUGUUUCUAAUUUUGCCUUUGUUUCUUAAUGCAUCUUCUCC
RNAcentral lists this long non-coding RNA (217 nucleotides) under Nicotiana benthamiana. RNAcentral's name for it is "long non-coding RNA (NBEN_LNC030455)". Lineage: Eukaryota; Viridiplantae; Streptophyta; Magnoliopsida; Solanales; Solanaceae. The record is from RNAcentral.